Molecule: transfer RNA, 67 nt
Filed under: Caudacaecilia cf. asplenia ZRC 1.12502
Lineage: Eukaryota; Metazoa; Chordata; Amphibia; Gymnophiona; Ichthyophiidae
Description: tRNA-His
Rfam family: tRNA
About the family: Transfer RNA (tRNA) molecules are approximately 80 nucleotides in length. Their secondary structure includes four short double-helical elements and three loops (D, anti-codon, and T loops). Further hydrogen bonds mediate the characteristic L-shaped molecular structure. tRNAs have two regions of fundamental functional importance: the anti-codon, which is responsible for specific mRNA codon recognition, and the 3' end, to which the tRNAs corresponding amino acid is attached (by aminoacyl-tRNA synthetases). tRNAs cope with the degeneracy of the genetic code in two manners: having more than one tRNA (with a specific anti-codon) for a particular amino acid; and 'wobble' base-pairing, i.e. permitting non-standard base-pairing at the 3rd anti-codon position.
Source: RNAcentral
GUAAAUAUAGUUUAAAAAAACAUUAGAUUGUGAUUCUAAAAACAGAAGCUAAACCUUCUUAUUUACC